UCACUUGUGGGGGGAUUAGUGGCGAACGGGUGAGUAACACGUGAGUAACCUGCCCUUGACUCUGGGAUAAGCCUGGGAAACCGGGUCUAAUACUGGAUACGACCUUCUGGCGCAUGCCAUGUUGGUGGAAAGCUUUUGUGGUUUUGGAUGGACUCGCGGCCUAUCAGCUUGUUGGUGGGGUAAUGGCCUACCAAGGCGACGACGGGUAGCCGGCCUGAGAGGGUGACCGGCCACACUGGGACUGAGACACGGCCCAGACUCCUACGGGAGGCAGCAGUGGGGAAUAUUGCACAAUGGGCGCAAGCCUGAUGCAGCGACGCCGCGUGAGGGAUGAAGGCCUUCGGGUUGUAAACCUCUUUCAGUAGGGAAGAAGCUGGCCUUUUGGGUUGGUGACGGUACCUGCAGAAGAAGCGCCGGCUAACUACGUGCCAGCAGCCGCGGUAAUACGUAGGGCGCAAGCGUUAUCCGGAAUUAUUGGGCGUAAAGAGCUCGUAGGCGGUUUGUCGCGUCUGCCGUGAAAGUCCGGGGCUUAACUCCGGAUCUGCGGUGGGUACGGGCAGACUAGAGUGCAGUAGGGGAGACUGGAAUUCCUGGUGUAGCGGUGAAAUGCGCAGAUAUCAGGAGGAACACCGAUGGCGAAGGCAGGUCUCUGGGCUGUAACUGACGCUGAGGAGCGAAAGCAUGGGGAGCGAACAGGAUUAGAUACCCUGGUAGUCCAUGCCGUAAACGUUGGGCACUAGGUGU
RNAcentral lists this ribosomal RNA (744 nucleotides) under Arthrobacter sp. MJBC29. Its description in RNAcentral is "bacterial SSU rRNA". It matches the Rfam family "Bacterial small subunit ribosomal RNA", at positions 76 to 823 of the family's 1533-position model. Lineage: Bacteria; Bacillati; Actinomycetota; Actinomycetes; Micrococcales; Micrococcaceae. The record is from RNAcentral.